RNAcentral lists this microRNA (22 nucleotides) under Alligator mississippiensis (American alligator). RNAcentral describes it as "Ami-Mir-130-P1c_5p* (star (passenger))". Lineage: Eukaryota; Metazoa; Chordata; Crocodylia; Alligatoridae. The record is from RNAcentral.
GCUCUUUUCACAUUGUACUACU